AUCUGCCAAGGCUAAAUACUCCCUGGCGACCGAUAGUGAAGCAGUACCGUGAGGGAAAGGUGAAAAGCACCCCGGAAGGGGAGUGAAAUAGAUCCUGAAACCGUGUGCUUACAAGAAGUCAGAGCCCAUUUUAGGGGUGAUGGCGUGCCUUUUGUAGAAUGAACCGGCGAGUUACGUUCCCGUGCAAGGUUAAGGUGAAGAGCUGAAGCCGCAGCGAAAGCGAGUCUGAAUAGGGCGA
Molecule: ribosomal RNA, 238 nt
Filed under: Paenibacillus ottowii
Lineage: Bacteria; Bacillati; Bacillota; Bacilli; Caryophanales; Paenibacillaceae
Also listed under: 1 other name
Description: partial 23S ribosomal RNA
Rfam family: Bacterial large subunit ribosomal RNA
Source: RNAcentral